GAUGAACGCUGGCGGCGUGCCUAAUACAUGCAAGUCGAGCGAACGGACGAGAAGCUUGCUUCUCUGAUGUUAGCGGCGGACGGGUGAGUAACACGUGGAUAACCUACCUAUAAGACUGGGAUAACUUCGGGAAACCGGAGCUAAUACCGGAUGAUAUUUUGAACCGCAUGGUUCAAAAGUGAAAGACGGUCUUGCUGUCACUUAUAGAUGGAUCCGCGCUGCAUUAGCUAGUUGGUAAGGUAACGGCUUACCAAGGCAACGAUGCAUAGCCGACCUAAGAGGGUGAUCGGCCACACUGGAACUGAGACACGGUCCAGACUCCUACGGGAGGCAGCAGUAGGGAAUCUUCCGCAAAGGGCGAAAGCCUGACGGAGCAACGCCGCGUGAGUGAUGAAGGUCUUCGGAUCGUAAAACUCUGUUAUUAGGGAAGAACAUAUGUGUAAGUAACUGUGCACAUCUUGACGGUACCUAAUCAGAAAGCCACGGCUAACUACGUG
RNAcentral lists this ribosomal RNA (497 nucleotides) under uncultured bacterium. Its description in RNAcentral is "partial 16S ribosomal RNA". It matches the Rfam family "Bacterial small subunit ribosomal RNA", at positions 28 to 507 of the family's 1533-position model. The record is from RNAcentral.